This is a small nucleolar RNA of Balaenoptera musculus (blue whale), 136 nucleotides long. Ensembl annotates it as small nucleolar RNA, C/D box 94. Its record names the gene SNORD94. NCBI's taxonomy places the organism in Eukaryota, Metazoa, Chordata, Mammalia, Artiodactyla, Balaenopteridae. The record is from Ensembl.
CAGGCUGUGAUGAUUGGCGCAGGGGUACGGACCUCAGCUGAUCAUGGGAGCUGAGUGUACGUGUUUCUCCUUUGUCCUGCGUGUGGCAGGAUGACGGCAAGCACUUACAUGAGACUGAUGCCUGAAUCUGAGCCUG